AACUUUUGACAAUGGAUCUCUUGGUUCUCGCAUCUAUGAAGAACGCAGCGAAAUGCGAUAAGUAAUGUGAAUUGCAGAAUUCAGUGAAUCAUCGAAUCUUUGAACGCACCUUGCGCUCUUUGGUAUUCCGAAGAGCAUGCCUGUUUGAGUGUCAUUAAAUCUUCAAAUUGUUUGAUUUUAUUAUUGAGCACAUUUGGAUGUGGAAGUGUUGUUGGCCUCGGUCAGCUCUUCUAAAAUGCAUUAGCCGGAAGCUUUUGUAACCGUCUAUUGGUGUGAUAAUUAUCUAUACCGUUGACAGCUACACUAUGUAUAAGCGUUCUGCUCCCAACUGUCUGUGUAUGCGGACAAUAUUUGACAAUUUGACCUCAAAUCAGGUAGGACUACCCGCUGAACUUAAGCAUAUCAAUAAGCGGAGGCU
This 418-nucleotide unclassified non-coding RNA is filed under the name uncultured Agaricales. RNAcentral's name for it is "sequence contains ITS2". The stretch from base 1 to 154 matches the Rfam family "5.8S ribosomal RNA". The record is from RNAcentral. Lineage: Eukaryota; Fungi; Basidiomycota; Agaricomycetes; Agaricales.